RNAcentral lists this non-coding RNA (25 nucleotides) under Cricetulus griseus (Chinese hamster). The record is from RNAcentral. Lineage: Eukaryota; Metazoa; Chordata; Mammalia; Rodentia; Cricetidae.
AUUGUCCUGAGAGAAUCAUCACUUU